Molecule: ribosomal RNA, 1337 nt
Filed under: uncultured bacterium
Lineage: Bacteria
Description: bacterial SSU rRNA
Rfam family: Bacterial small subunit ribosomal RNA
Source: RNAcentral
GACGAACGCUGGCGGCGUGCUUAACACAUGCAAGUCGAACGGAAAGGCCCCUCGGGGUACUCGAGUGGCGAACGGGUGAGUAACACGUGGGUGAUCUGCCCUGCACUUUGGGAUAAGCCUGGGAAACUGGGUCUAAUACCGAAUAGGACCACGCGCUUCAUGGUGUGUGGUGGAAAGCUUUUGCGGUGUGGGAUGGGCCCGCGGCCUAUCAGCUUGUUGGUGGGGUAAUGGCCUACCAAGGCGACGACGGGUAGCCGGCCUGAGAGGGUGACCGGCCACACUGGGACUGAGAUACGGCCCAGACUCCUACGGGAGGCAGCAGUGGGGAAUAUUGCACAAUGGGCGCAAGCCUGAUGCAGCGACGCCGCGUGAGGGAUGACGGCCUUCGGGUUGUAAACCUCUUUCAAUAGGGACGAAGCGCAAGUGACGGUACCUAUAGAAGAAGCACCGGCCAACUACGUGCCAGCAGCCGCGGUAAUACGUAGGGUGCGAGCGUUGUCCGGAAUUACUGGGCGUAAAGAGCUCGUAGGUGGUUUGUCGCGUUGUUCGUGAAAACUCACAGCUUAACUGUGGGCGUGCGGGCGAUACGGGCAGACUAGAGUACUGCAGGGGAGACUGGAAUUCCUGGUGUAGCGGUGGAAUGCGCAGAUAUCAGGAGGAACACCGGUGGCGAAGGCGGGUCUCUGGGCAGUAACUGACGCUGAGGAGCGAAAGCGUGGGGAGCGAACAGGAUUAGAUACCCUGGUAGUCCACGCCGUAAACGGUGGGUACUAGGUGUGGGUUCCUUCCUUGGGAUCCGUGCCGUAGCUAACGCAUUAAGUACCCCGCCUGGGGAGUACGGCCGCAAGGCUAAAACUCAAAGGAAUUGACGGGGGCCCGCACAAGCGGCGGAGCAUGUGGAUUAAUUCGAUGCAACGCGAAGAACCUUACCUGGGUUUGACAUGCACAGGACGCCGGCAGAGAUGUCGGUUCCCUUGUGGCCUGUGUGCAGGUGGUGCAUGGCUGUCGUCAGCUCGUGUCGUGAGAUGUUGGGUUAAGUCCCGCAACGAGCGCAACCCUUGUCCUAUGUUGCCAGCGGGUUAUGCCGGGGACUCGUAGGAGACUGCCGGGGUCAACUCGGAGGAAGGUGGGGAUGACGUCAAGUCAUCAUGCCCCUUAUGUCCAGGGCUUCACACAUGCUGCAAUGGCCGGUACAAAGGGCUGCGAUGCCGUGAGGUGGAGCGAAUCCUUUCAAAGCCGGUCUCAGUUCGGAUCGGGGUCUGCAACUCGACCCCGUGAAGUCGGAGUCGCUAGUAAUCGCAGAUCAGCAACGCUGCGGUGAAUACGUUCCCGGGCCU